Molecule: long non-coding RNA, 634 nt
Organism: Paramisgurnus dabryanus
Lineage: Eukaryota; Metazoa; Chordata; Actinopteri; Cypriniformes; Cobitidae
Source: RefSeq, a predicted model, not a curated record
UAAAAUUGAGUUUGCACACAAAAUGGCACCUCCUAAACAGAAGGUGGCAGUAACCCUCAAUAAAAAGGACGUCAAUCGCCAUAAAGGAAGAAUAAACAUCGUUUGUUUUGGGCGCCAAAAUGAAGACUCAGCAGCAGCAGUCAGUCAGAAGAACUCUCUCAGACGGACACCACGUUAUUAAAGUCCAUCAUCCUUGCACACACUCAAAAGCAUUGAUAAAUGCUGAAUUUAAAAGAAUCACUACUGUCUUAUGUUCCUGCGUGUCACCUGGACCUCCAAUCCAAAAACCUGACGAAACUCUUCUAUCAGAAAGGAGGACAGCUAGCAAAAAGACUUCAAACAAUGAAUGAUCAAAUGACAGAAGGCAUGGAUGAAGUCAGCAUCAGCGAGGUCAUUUGAAGACACCACUGUUGGGAUUUGUGCUCUCAAACAACAUGCUUCUUGUGAUGAAGAAGAGGAUCUUUGUAUAGUCCUGGAAGGCAUGAAGGUGUUGCAACAUCGUGCCACGUUGUUUGAGCUGAUGUAUGCCUUAAACCUGAACUAUCCUGAUCUCUGCUUUAUUUUUGAAGAAAUCCAAAAGAUUUUAAUGGAACUGCAUUGAGCGUAACUUUAACGAACAGUUUCUUUCAGUGAA